This 112-nucleotide ribosomal RNA is filed under the name uncultured eukaryote. Its description in RNAcentral is "partial small subunit ribosomal RNA". It matches the Rfam family "Eukaryotic small subunit ribosomal RNA", at positions 1676 to 1785 of the family's 1831-position model. The record is from RNAcentral.
UCGCUACUACCGAUUGGGAAAAUUUCAGAAAAGUUUGGACUGUGUCUUGUUCGGCUUCACGGCCUUACUUGACGUGGAAAAAAUUUUAAUGAUAUUUUCCUAGAGGAAGUAA